CGCGCCUCGGCGCCGCCGGGCAAAGGGGCGGCUCAGAGGUGCCCCUCGGGGAGCCCCGGUGCCCUUCGAGGCAGGUUUGCUGCGAACAGCGAGUGCCAGGAGACACGGUCCGGUGGGGCCAGCGGUGCCCGGCCGGCCAGACAGCCCGCGGGCACAGCCGGCUCGGCUCGCUGGUUGCUGGCGGUCCUCGAAUGCUUCGGUCCCUCUCCGAAGGCUUGUGGUCAAACCUCUGCAACCUCCACUUGCUGCUCUCUCCAGCCUAGCAAAACUACAGUGCUGCAACACAUCCAUUUUUAUUGUGGUGGUGCUGGUGGUUGCGGUUCUUGCUGUUCGUUUGGUCACAAGAUGAAAAAAAAAUGGAGUGAUGCUACUGGUGAAAGUGUGGCAGUUUGGGCAAGAAGUGAGAAAAUGUGGAAAGAGGAGUGUCUAGGAGACAUUGCAUCUGGGAGAGAUGUGAAACUGAGGUUCCUAAAUGUAUAGAAAUUUGGAAAUUGAACCAGGGUCACCCACGUUUUGGUAAGUACCACAAACAGUAGAUCACUGUAAAAAAGCAUUAUUGGUCCUGUAGGCAGCUAUUUUGGCCUUUUCAGGAUCUAAUUUUUAAAUCAAAGUAGAAUAUAAUUCAGUCUUUUGUAUCACUGGGAACCUCUCCUAGGUAUGGAGGUAUUGUUGCUGAAGGGUAUUGUAGCUGACAAUUAUCUUCUAUGUAAUUUUAAUGGUUUUAAAAUAUAUAUCUGAAGCUGACAAAGUGACCUAGCAUUUCAUUUGGAACCUAGUUACGUGGCUUAAUGGGAGGAAACCCCAAAAGCUAUCAGUCACAAUUAAUUGGUUUUACUCAGAGAUUUUGUGUUUUUGCUGUCGAGGUAAGAUCGGAUAGACAGCUUUCCAGUUUACCAAAUGUUGCCACUCAGUGGUAUCAGUGUAACUGUAAUAUCAUGCUUUUGAUUUAUUUAUGAACACCAUAUGCCUGUCAUGUUGGAAACCAAUGGAUGUUGUGUGUUCAUUCAUUAGGUUUCUGGAAACAACAAAGACCCGUGAUUAUAUUGCACACCAGUCAUUCUUGCCAGUGCUUUAUUUCAGUAAAUAAUAGUGGUCUUCAGAACAUUCACUGCACCAUCAAUUAAAUGCAGCUGGAAUUUCUAUAUACAUAUACAUAUACAUAUACAUAUACAUAUACAUAUACA
RNAcentral lists this long non-coding RNA (1184 nucleotides) under Ficedula albicollis (Collared flycatcher). RNAcentral describes it as "lncRNA (ENSFALG00000025113.1)". Lineage: Eukaryota; Metazoa; Chordata; Aves; Passeriformes; Muscicapidae. The record is from RNAcentral.